GUCUUCUUGUCUAUAUAUGAAAGUCUGGUCUGCCCACUGAAAUUUGAAGGGCCGCGGUAUUUUGACCGUGCAAAGGUAGCAUAAUCAUUAGUCUUUUAAUUGGAGGCUGGAAUGAAGGGCUGCACGAGGUAUAAACUGUCUUAUUUGAAUUGUUAUUAGAACUUAAUUUUUAAGUUAAAAAGCUUAAAUUUUUUUAAAGGACGAGAAGACCCUAUAGAACUUUAUAUCAAUAUGAAGUAGACGGUAUUUGGUUGUUUUUAUGUCUAUUUGUAUUUUUAUUUUGUUGGGGUGAUGGGAAAAUAAAAUGAACUUUUUUUGUUGAUUUACAUUAAUGUAUGAGUGUUUGAUCCAUUUUUAGUGAUUAUAAGAUUAAGUUACCUUAGGGAUAACAGCGUAAUUUUCCCUUAGAGUUCUUAUCGACGGGGAAGCUUGCGACCUCGAUGUUGGAUUAAGAUUAAUUUUUGGUGUAGAAGCUAAAAUAUUAGGUCUGUUCGACCUUUAAAUUCUU
This 508-nucleotide ribosomal RNA is filed under the name Grylloblatta rothi. Its description in RNAcentral is "partial 16S ribosomal RNA". It matches the Rfam family "Bacterial large subunit ribosomal RNA", at positions 1830 to 2597 of the family's 2925-position model. Lineage: Eukaryota; Metazoa; Arthropoda; Insecta; Grylloblattodea; Grylloblattidae. The record is from RNAcentral.